Molecule: microRNA precursor, 90 nt
Filed under: Tupaia belangeri (northern tree shrew)
Lineage: Eukaryota; Metazoa; Chordata; Mammalia; Scandentia; Tupaiidae
Description: miRNA (ENSTBEG00000020937.1)
Source: RNAcentral
UGACCAAUUGUCCUGGUUUGCCUGAGACUGAGGGUAUUCCCAGACACAGGAUGUUUACUGCAAAAACCAGGAAAGUCUUGGGCAAACUAG